AAUUACGAACGCUGGCGGCAUGCCUAACACUAUGCAAGUCGAACGCUAUUUAUAGAGUGGCUGCACGGGUGAGUAACGCGUGGGAACCUGUUUCUGCGGGAUAACGGUUGGAAACGACCGCUAAUACCGCAUACGCCCUACGGGGUGAAAGGUCCGCCGGAGAAAGAGGGGCCCGCGAUCUGAUUAGCUAGUUGGUGGGGUAACGGCCUACCAAGGACGACGAUCAGUAGCUGGUCUGAGAGGAUGAUCAGCCACACUGGGACUGAGACACGGCCCAGACUCCUACGGGAGGCAGCAGUGGGGAAUAUUGGACAAUGGGGGCAACCCUGAUCCAGCAAUGCCGCGUGUGUGAUGAAGGCCUUAGGGUUGUAAAGCACUAUUCACUGGUGAAGAUGAUGACGGUAACCACGACAAGAAGGCCCGG
Molecule: ribosomal RNA, 424 nt
Filed under: uncultured bacterium
Lineage: Bacteria
Description: bacterial SSU rRNA
Rfam family: Bacterial small subunit ribosomal RNA
Source: RNAcentral